UGCCCCUUUCCCCUCCCUCCCUCCCUCCCUCCCUCCCCGCCGCCUCGGUCUUGCUCCGUGGAAAAGCAAAGCCAAGCCGGGCUGGGGCUCCUCCGUGCUCCCCGUGGAGGUGCUGCCGCUGCCGCCGCUGCCUCUGGCCGCGCGGUCCCAGUCUGGCUCAGGGCAGAGCUGUCUCUGAGUCCCAGGGCGGGCGGCUCCGCGGUGCCCCUCUCCCUCUGGACGUGUGUGUGUGUCUCUCUCUCCCUCCGUGUGUGUGCAGCAGCAAGCAGCAGCUCCUUGAUUCAAUAGAUGAGAUGAAGAAGAAAAAAAGAACUCUCUCCAUUUGGAUAAAGAGGAGGAGGGGUGAAGGGGGGGGAGAGGAGAGAGAGGGGAAAGAAGGAGAAAAAAAAAAAAGCCCUCAAAUCCCGCCCCUGGGGCUGUCAGAUGGCUGGGCUUUCUGGGACGCGAUUGGCUCAGGGAGGGCAGAAAUUACUCAGCAAACAUGACUAUUAUUAGCUGCUUAGCAACAGCUCACCAAAGUAGAGAGACCACCCAGGCAGGCAACCCUUGUGUGUGCAUCUCCAGCUUCAGGGGGAGCCUUAAAGAGAUCCAGCCUUCUUUGCAUGCAAUACUUCCAUUAAGGAAUGCCUCUCCCCCCGCACCCCCUCCCCACCUUUUCUUCUUCAUUUUCUUUUCAACAACGGUUUCUUCUUUUUCUUUUUUUUUCUUUUUUUUUUUACGAGAUGCUUUUAGACAAACACGCGCGCAAGCCUUUACUGCACAUCCACCUUCAAAAAUAUAUUUUGCUUUUUUUUUAAAAAAAAAGAAGAAAAAGAAACCCACGGAACGAUUUCUAAAGCCUUUAAAAGAAAAUCCUUUUAGAGGCACCUUGGCCUCAAGCUGCAACAAAUACUGGGAGGUCCGAGCUGAAUUCCCAGGCUUGCACAAAUAAUGACAGGGUGGUGGAUACUGCGAGGGAAAGUGCCAAUUUUUUUUUUUCCUCUCUCUCUCUCUCUCCCUCCCUCCCUCUCUCUUUUCUCCUUUUAACUAAAGAGGAGACAGAUCCUUGCAAGAAAGGACCAGUGAGGGUGGGGGCAAAUAAUAAUUAAUAAUAAUAAUGAUGAUGAUGGUAAUGAUGAUAACAACACACCAUGGAAAUUUAACACCCAGAAGAAGGGAUGUAAAGCCGGGCAAGGAGCCCGCGCGGUUUAACUGAGCGUGGGGGUCCCGAGCCUCACUCUGCAGCAAAGUCCGCUUAAUACCUCGCCCCCCCCCCCCCCGCCACAAUUUUUUUUCAAUGUCAAGUUCAGUCCCCAGAGGCUUUUCACGCUCCGCGUGAAUCGCCAGCUUGUUUCGGGGCUAUUUUUAUUUGUUGGCACCCCAAAAAUCAAUGAGUUGCUUUUAAAUAGAUACUUAAAAAUCAAUGCAUUGAUUUUGGGGAGGGGGGAAGGAGAUGCCCGUGUAGGGAGAUGCUCCCCAUCGGAAACGCUUUUAGGGGUGCAAGGGGGGGCUGUGCCUCUGUACAGGUUGCAGGAGGCGCUGUCACCCCGGAGGUGGCUUUUGCACCGCAUUGCCCCCCCCAUCUGCAUGCAUUUCAGGGACUCCCCCUCGUGCUUCUGCACCCCACCCCCCAGCCUGUACCACUGGGAUGAGGGGGGCAGGUCCCACUCGGGGCCGUGUCCCUUUAAGGGGCGCGCGGUGUGUGUUCAUUGAAAAAAAAAAAGAACGCGCGGGGGGCGGGGCCCAGCGGCGUCACGUGACACACGGGCGCCUGGGCCGGACUCCUCAAGUGCGCGGCGGGUUCGGCCGGGCCCUGAGGGUUCGGAUUCUGAAAGGGGGGUGGAGAUGAGAUGAAUUACUGCGAGGAUCUAAUUGGCCUUGUUUCUGCCGCGCUUUAAAAAAAAAUGGAGGAGGAGGAGGAAGAAGUGUCAGAGUAAAAGUCUGUCUCGACUUGGGUGGUCAGGAGCGGUGGCUGCCCCCAAUUUGCCUCAUUGCUGAUGCAUGCGAGUGCUGCAUUCCCAGCGAUAAUGUUGUUCCUAAUCAAUCUGCCCUUAUUUACAUUUGUAAGCAUUGUUGGCUUUAAUAUGCAUGCCCUGCGCAUGUCACCGCGGCUCCGCACCCGGGGCUCUCCCCCUCUCCUUUCUUUACCCUAAACUUCAAGGAUCCCACAGAUCGGAGUGGUGAUAACACGCCCGGCUCCUCGCCUGCAGGAGGCCUUCCGAGGUGGCACCUCCCGCCGGCACUGCUCUGCCUUCCCCCGGCCCGGCUCGCUCCCCCCGGGUGGGCAGGGCCCGCCCAGUUGGCCCCUCCGGGUGCCUGGCACCAAGGACCCGCCUUCCUAUAUGCCCCCCUGGCAUCCCGGAGCAGGAGCCUUGCAAGGGACAUCGAGAGGUCACAUCUAGUCCAACCCCCUGCUCGGAGCAGGACCAUCCCCAGCUGGAUCAUCCCCAGCCAAGGCUUUGUCCGCCCGGCACAGAUGCCCGGCAGAGGAGUUCAGCCCCGAGGGGUAGGGGCUGGGAGGUUGCUGAUGGCUUCACGGCGACUCUUGCAGCGUGUUAGGGGGCUUCCCCCCCACCCCCCAUCACUGCUCUGCCUGUAGCAUCCGGUUACAUGAAUAAAGGAAGGACAUUGAAAGAAAA
Alligator mississippiensis (American alligator) is the source of this 2618-nucleotide long non-coding RNA. RefSeq lists it as uncharacterized. The transcript has 2 exons. NCBI's taxonomy places the organism in Eukaryota, Metazoa, Chordata, Crocodylia, Alligatoridae. The record is from RefSeq and is a predicted model, not a curated record.